Molecule: long non-coding RNA, 372 nt
Organism: Ostrea edulis (European flat oyster)
Lineage: Eukaryota; Metazoa; Mollusca; Bivalvia; Ostreida; Ostreidae
Exons: 2
Source: RefSeq, a predicted model, not a curated record
AACACCAUUUGCAAGUCCUGCACGAAUACGUAUAGUAAUCUCAGUCGUCACCAUGAGCUCUUCUACAAUUAUUCUCUUGUUCCUGGCCGGUUCCAUGUUCACAACGGUUCUGACAGCAUCGUGUCCAAGUCACUGUUACACCGCCAGUUCUACGUGCAUCAACAACUGUUACAACACCGUGUCAACUAUUAUCGGCAACAUCGGGAAACGUGCCGUCAUGGAAGCUAAAUCACGUCAAAGAAGAUACAAUUGUUACGAUAUGUGUAUGUCCUUGUACAAGGCAUGCUGCGGAACAAGUUAAAGGGAACAUUUUGAGACGAAAAUUAAUUUUUAAGUAAUAAAAACGUCUUAUUAAAAGAGUUGUACAACAAU